GGUCCUCACGGUUUUAAAGUUACGGCGUUCCGUACGUAUUAGCGUCUUUGGAAUCGAAAAUAAUAAAGAAUAAACUACAACAUAGCAUUUCCGAGGACGCAUCCAUCUUAAUACGAUUACUUUUUAGUUUUUUCAACAAAAAAAAAAACAAACGAAUAACCUCAAUAGAGCAACAAGUUGAAUUAUAUUGGUACUAGUUGUUUAAACCAAAAAUGAAAAGUUAAAAGAAAAAAAAAACAAAAAAGGGAUGCAACACGAGGACUUCCCGGGUGGUCACCCAUCCUAGUACUACUCUCGCCCAAGCACGCUUAACUGCGGAGUUCUGAUGGGAUCCGGUGCAUUAGUGCUGGUAUGAUCGCAUCCGUUAGUACAUUGCAUACAAUCGCAUAUAUCCUUUACCGAGGAUUCAAGAGAUCAUUUGUAGUGGGUCCCACUUUGAUACGUGGACCGCUUUAGCCAGCUUCAACGUGCUCUUUUAUUUGGAAAAGACGCAUAAAUCAUGUCCGAACACUUUUUCGAUCAUUUAAUCUCUUACAAAUCACAAAAACCUCAUGGAAACACACUAAACGUCAAAAUUUGGGGUCGAACACAGGGCCCAAUGGUACGAAGACCCAUUGCCACAUUGUAACUUUUCGAGAGCUUUCCGAAAAGGUAUUAUCGCCUGAAUAGGUCCUCACGGUUUUAAAGUUACGGCGUUCCGUACGUAUUAGCGUCUUUGGAAUCGAAAAUAAUAAAGAAUAAACUACAACAUAGCAUUUCCGAGGACGCAUCCAUCUUAAUACGAUUACUUUUUAGUUUUUUCAACAAAAAAAAACAAACGAACAACCUCAAUAGAGCAACAAGUUGAAUUAUAUUGGUACUAGUUGUUUAAACCAAAAAUGAAAAGUUAAAAGAAAAAAAAAAAACAAAGGGAUGCAACACGAGGACUUCCCGGGAGCUCACCCAUCCUAGUACUACUCUCGCCCAAGCACGCUUAACUGCGGAGUUCUGAUGGGAUCCGGUGCAUUAGUGCUGGUAUGAUCGCAUCCGUUAGUACAUUGCAUACAAUCGCAUAUAUCCUUUACCGAGGAUUCAAGAGAUCAUUUGUAGUGGGUCCCACUUGAUACGUGGACCGCUUUAGCCAGCUUCAACGUGCUCUUUUAUUUGGAAAAGACGCAUAAAUCAUGUCCGAACACUUUUUCGAUCAUUUAAUCUCUUACAAAUCACAAAAACCUCAUGGAAACACACUAAACGUCAAAAUUUGGGGUCGAACACAGGGCCCAAUGGUACGAAGACCCAUUGCCACAUUGUAACUUUUCGAGAGCUUUCCGAAAAGGUAUUAUCGCCUGAAUAGGUCCUCACGGUUUUAAAGUUACGGCGUUCCGUACGUAUUAGCGUCUUUGGAAUCGAAAAUAAUAAAGAAUAAACUACAACAUAGCAUUUCCGAGGACGCAUCCAUCUUAAUACGAUUACUUUUUAGUUUUUUCAACAAAAAAAAGAGAAACGAACAACCUCAAUAGAGCAACAAGUUGAAUUAUAUUGGUACUAGUUGUUUAAACCAAAAAUGAAAAGUUAAAAGAAAAAAAAAAAAAAAAAAGGGAUGCAACACGAGGACUUCCCGGGAGGUCACCCAUCCUAGUACUACUCUCGCCCAAGCACGCUUAACUGCGGAGUUCUGAUGGGAUCCGGUGCAUUAGUGCUGGUAUGAUCGCAUCCGUUAGUACAUUGCAUACAAUCGCAUAUAUCCUUUACCGAGGAUUCAAGAGAUCAUUUGUAGUGGGUCCCACUUGAUACGUGGACCGCUUUAGCCAGCUUCAACGUGCUCUUUUAUUUGGAAAAGACGCAUAAAUCAUGUCCGAACACUUUUUCGAUCAUUUAAUCUCUUACAAAUCACAAAAACCUCAUGGAAACACACUAAACGUCAAAAUUUGGGGUCGAACACAGGGCCCAAUGGAACGAAGACCCAUUGCCACACUAUAACUUUCCGAGAGCUUUCCAAAAAGGUAUUAUCGGCCGAAUAGGUCCUCACGGUUUUAAAGUUACGGCGUUCCGUACGUAUUAGCGUCUUUGGAAUCGAAAAUAAUAAAGAAUAAACUACAACAUAGCAUUUCCGAGGACGCAUCCAUCUUAAUACGAUUACUUUUUAGUUUUUUCAACAAAAAAAAGAGAAACGAACAACCUCAAUAGAGCAACAAGUUGAAUUAUAUUGGUACUAGUUGUUUAAACCAAAAAUGAAAAGUUAAAAGAAAAAAAAAAAAAAAAAAGGGAUGCAACACGAGGACUUCCCGGGAGGUCACCCAUACUAGUACUACUCUCGCCCAAGCACGCUUAACUGCGGAGUUCUGAUGGGAUCCGGUGCAUUAGUGCUGGUAUGAUCGCAUCCGUUAGUACAUUGCAUACAAUCGCAUAUAUCCUUUACCGAGGAUUCAAG
This 2410-nucleotide long non-coding RNA is filed under the name Capsella rubella. RNAcentral's name for it is "long non-coding RNA (CRUB_LNC000598)". Lineage: Eukaryota; Viridiplantae; Streptophyta; Magnoliopsida; Brassicales; Brassicaceae. The record is from RNAcentral.